CUCCCAAACCCCUGUGAACAUACCUUAUGUUGCCUCGGCGGAUCAGCCCGCGCCCCGUAAAAAGGGACGGCCCGCCGCAGGAACCCUAAACUCUGUUUUUAGUGGAACUUCUGAGUAUAAAAAACAAAUAAAUCAAAACUUUCAACAACGGAUCUCUUGGUUCUGGCAUCGAUGAAGAACGCAGCAAAAUGCGAUAAGUAAUGUGAAUUGCAGAAUUCAGUGAAUCAUCGAAUCUUUGAACGCACAUUGCGCCCGCCAGUAUUCUGGCGGGCAUGCCUGUUCGAGCGUCAUUUCAACCCUCAAGCCCAGCUUGGUGUUGGGAGCUGCAGUCCUGCUGCACUCCCCAAAUACAUUGGCGGUCACGUCGAGCUUCCAUAGCGUAGUAAUUUACAUAUCGUUACUGGUAAUCGUCGCGGCCACGCCGUUAAACCCCAACUUCUGAAUGUUGACCUCGGAUCAGGUAGGACUACCCGCUGAACUUAAGCAUAUC
This 490-nucleotide ribosomal RNA is filed under the name Fusarium culmorum. RNAcentral's name for it is "eukaryotic LSU rRNA". The stretch from base 137 to 290 matches the Rfam family "5.8S ribosomal RNA". The record is from RNAcentral. Lineage: Eukaryota; Fungi; Ascomycota; Sordariomycetes; Hypocreales; Nectriaceae.